This 253-nucleotide ribosomal RNA is filed under the name uncultured bacterium. RNAcentral describes it as "partial 16S ribosomal RNA". It matches the Rfam family "Bacterial small subunit ribosomal RNA", at positions 524 to 776 of the family's 1533-position model. The record is from RNAcentral.
UACGGAGGGUGCAAGCGUUAUCCGGAUUCACUGGGCUUAAAGGGUGCGUAAGUGGGUUGGUAAGUCAGUGGUGAAAUCUCCGAGCUUAACUUGGAAACUGCCAUUGAUACUAUCAGUCUUGAAUAUUGUGGAGGUCAGCGGAAUAUGUCAUGUAGCGGUGAAAUGCUUAGAUAUGACAUAGAACACCAAUUGCGAAGGCAGCUGGCUACACAUAUAUUGACACUGAGGCACGAAAGCGUGGGGAUCAAACAGG